UACAGAGGUCGCAAGCGUUGUUCGGAUUCAUUGGGCGUAAAGGGUGCGUAGGUGGCGAGGUUAGUCAGGUGUGAAAUCUCGGGGCUCAACCCCGAAACUGCACUUGAUACUGCCUUGCUAGAGUACUGGAGAGGAGAUUGGAAUUUACGGUGUAGCAGUGAAAUGCGUAGAUAUCGUAAGGAAGACCAGUGGCGAAGGCGGGUCUCUGGACAGUUCCUGACGCUGAGGCACGAAGGCCAGGGGAGCAAACGGG
This 253-nucleotide ribosomal RNA is filed under the name uncultured bacterium. RNAcentral's name for it is "partial 16S ribosomal RNA". It matches the Rfam family "Bacterial small subunit ribosomal RNA", at positions 524 to 776 of the family's 1533-position model. The record is from RNAcentral.